GAUGAACGCUGGCGGCGUGCUUAACACAUGCAAGUCGAACGAUGAAGGAGGAGCUUGCUCCUCUGGAUUAGUGGCGAACGGGUGAGUAACACGUGAGCAAUCUGCCCCUGACUCUGGGAUAAGCGUUGGAAACGACGUCUAAUACCGGAUACGAGCCGAGCAGGCAUCUGCAUCGGUUGGAAAGAACUUCGGUCAGGGAUGAGCUCGCGGCCUAUCAGCUAGUUGGUGAGGUAAUGGCUCACCAAGGCGACGACGGGUAGCCGGCCUGAGAGGGUGACCGGCCACACUGGGACUGGGACACGGCCCAGACUCCUACGGGAGGCAGCAGUGGGGAAUAUUGCACAAUGGGCGCAAGCCUGAUGCAGCAACGCCGCGUGAGGGACGACGGCCUUCGGGUUGUAAACCUCUUUUAGCAGGGAAGAAGCGAGAGUGACGGUACCUGCAGAAAAAGCACCGGCUAACUACGUGCCAGCCGCCGCGGUAA
RNAcentral lists this ribosomal RNA (484 nucleotides) under uncultured bacterium. RNAcentral's name for it is "partial 16S ribosomal RNA". It matches the Rfam family "Bacterial small subunit ribosomal RNA", at positions 28 to 523 of the family's 1533-position model. The record is from RNAcentral.